UAUCAUUUUCCUGUCAAAAAACUGAUUCUUUUGUGUUUUUCAAUGUUAAAAACAAGCGAAAAGAAAUAUCAGUGAAUUUUAAUAAUUAUCGAAAUGUGCACGUGUUUGCAUGUAGCUCUAAGUAUCACGUGUUCGCUGAAGUUGAAUUGAAGGAUCAGAUAAUUUGCUGUAUGUGGCAUGAAGACAAACUUGUUAAUGGUUGGGAUGACGUAAUUAAGGAGGAAAUAACCAAUUUGAUCGCCGACAAAGACGAUGGAGAGUACAUGCGUGAUAAUACUCCCUCUAUAAAUUACGCUGCUUUUGCGCCUUUAGCAGAUAAAUUAUUAAUAGCAUCAAGUCAAGCAUCAGUGGACAUAUUGCAAGUUACUUUAGCAAAGUUUGAUAUGUUUAUCGCUUGUCUAUAAAAUUCCAUCGUGUACUCUAUAUUCAAACGAUAAUACAAGAAAGAGAAGCUUUAUUUCAGGAAGUGACGUAAUGAAAGAUAUGAAAAAUUUAUGUACAAUGGUUCUCUGUGGAUUUAUUGUUGUACAUUGUAACGUCACCAGGUCACGUGUUCAUUGAAAUGUCAUCUGUUGUUAAUAGUGGAAGAUAUGAACUUUUACAUUUUUAACUGUUCACUUUGUUCACUUUUUAUAAAACUUAAGCGUGAAAAUUAUCAUCUCAUGUGGACGUUUUGAUGUGAACAUAACGCAUAAGUAAUCAUGAGAGUGAAUAAAAAGAAUUCGAUUUUACUACAUUGUGGCUAUUGGAGAUGGCUAAAGGGAUUUCUUUGCUGCGUCUAUAAUUGAAGCUGCUUCUUGAUGCACACUGUCAUUGUGAAUACCAUAACAUUCGAUUGCUUUUGCGCAUGCUCUGUAAUAUAUAUUUACUUGAAUGAUACUAUAACAUUUGUGAUAUGAAUUAAGAUCUUGACAGCAACAUGUCAUGAAAAUUCAAAGCAAAAGUCAACUAUGGAUGGUUGUAGAAUAAAAGUGAUCAGUUUAGUUCAUAUGAAUGGUCAAUAAAUCAUUUACAACAAAAAUGACUUUAACUUUAAAGAACUACAUCAAGUUACGAGAAGGAGAAGUUUGGAAAAUUUUAUCGUCUUUCUCUUUCAAGAUGUGAUAUUUCUAGAUCCACUGUGUUGUAUUUUUUAUGUAGUGAACAAUUUUAAAUCAUUCAAUUUUAUUUCUUAUUGUUGUGCACAUAACUACGUAUUUUGAAUAGAUAUCUUUUAUAACAACUCAUAAACGGACAUCUACCGUAAGCAGACAUUAGGUCGUGGUCUCAAGGAUGUCGUUUUACGAGUAGCUAAACUGUAUAAAAACUUUUCGUUUUUAUUCAUUAUAUUUGCGUUUCUUGA
This is a long non-coding RNA of Xenia sp. Carnegie-2017, 1342 nucleotides long. RefSeq lists it as uncharacterized. The record is from RefSeq and is a predicted model, not a curated record. The transcript is spliced from 2 exons. NCBI's taxonomy places the organism in Eukaryota, Metazoa, Cnidaria, Anthozoa, Malacalcyonacea, Xeniidae.